UGAUGAAAACUUUCAAAUUAGACGAACAUUUUCAAUUAGAUGAACUUUUUUCAAAAUCCACGAAAUUUAGUCAAAUUUGAUGAACUUUUUUGAAAUUUGAUUUUCUUAAAAUUCAUGAAAAAAAUUAAAAACCGGUGAACAUUGUUUUGAAUUCACGAACAUUUUCUUUUUUGCAGAAAAAAAUCGUUUCUUUUUCAACUGCGAUCGAGUGAACCAGGGGGGUAUAAAAUGCAAUCGAGCGCUAGGAUCUACAGGGGUCGGCACACCAGCAUUGGUGUGUGGGCGCCAGGGAGCUUUCCUGGUGCCGGAAGCGCCGAAUAGGAGCACCCAGACUGGGGUGUGAGGACAAAAAUGGUGGGCUUUCCUUUGUGCUACCUGCUCAGAUUUGAUGAUGUAGUUCCGUCAUUGAUAACGUGUACGGUCCACCGUCAAAAGUUAGCUAGAAAUUCAUGCUAUGUGUGUUUCACGUUUGUGAAAGUUUAUGUUGUUUUGGUUACGCAAGGUUUUUUUAGAACUUAUCAGUAAAUGAAAAAGGUAUCAUAAAUUUCCGUUGUAUAUCGGCAAGAUCCACGUGCACGAAUCUCCAUCUCUUUAUGGACGGCAGGUCCAUGCACGCCAGUACUCCCUCUCUCUCAGUUUACAGGGCAUGCGCGUAUCCCUAAGUCGUCAAUUUGACCAAUCUAAUAGAAGUCAUAUAUUACAAAAAAUAUACCAAUAUAAACUUUAGAUGUUCUAUUUUUAAAAGGUAUAAUUUUUGUGUUAUAUAGUUUAUAUUAGGGUGAUAAAAUUGGCAACCUAGGUAUACGCGUAGGACUUGUAAACUGAGACGGAGGGAGUAUUAUCUUCGGUCCAAAAUUAAGUAUCUGGACUAUAUAUUACAACUUUACAUUAAAGUUAAUGCGUACAAAGUUGAGACACUUAUUUUGAGACGGAGAGUAUAUUGUAUGCAUGCUACUCUUUGUGUGACGUGUAAGUUUGGUAAGAAUCUAAUCUAACAGAGAGAUCCGAUGACAUGAAGAGGAGAAAGAAGGGUCACCUGUCACAUCGAUCUUCAUAUUUUUGUGAAUUUCGCUGCUUUAUUCAGUGACUAGGUAGGAAAUGCGGCUUGCCGCACCCGGCAGCACCGCUGCCGGGUACAAUUUAUAUCCAAUCCGGUAAUACAAUAAUUAAAGCAUUGCAAAUAUAAAAAUAGCAAGAUAUUGCAGCCUGCCGCACCCCAUCCAGUCCCGUUUUAGCUAAUCCGGUAGUACGGUAUACAUCUAUUCAGUCUAACAAUCCAACACCUGGUAGUAUUACUCAAAAGGCAGAAGAUAACAUUUACUUACAGCAGUAAUGGUCCAAUGCAAAACAUCAAAUCUCGUUACAAACCAUUGGUGCAUUUGUUAAAAAAUGUAGCAUGAAAUACCUAAAGAUCAAGGUUUGAUACGAUAUACCAAAAGCAGGCCAUAUAAGUUGUUUACACUGCUUUAAUACAACAUAGUACUAAACUAUGUAGUUGGCUAUGAUUAGCUUGCUCCAAACACCUUGUCAUCUGAUUUGCUUGAGUGUUGCGAUGGACGCAUCUGCUGAAAGACAUCUCGUGUUAGCCAAAUUAUUAAUAUAGUGUGUUUUAUGUAUAGCAAGAAAACAAUUCAUGCACUGACCCCCUAUGAAAGGUUUUGGACAGUGGGUAAUAGGUGGUCCUCCUAAUCCAUAAAAAUGAAGACACAUGUAUGAACUUCCUUAAAUUUUGGUGACUGUUUCAGAGGGCAUGGUUAUGUCCAUCCUAACUCAUGACAUCUUAUGUGCUUUGAAAUCAUUGAGCUAACAUCGUACAAUCACAUAAGUAAUUACUGGUCUUUUCAUAACAUAGUCAGAUAAAAGUAAGUAAGCACAAAGAUUAUUUGAGAAAUUCAAAUACUUUUGACCGAGUCCAUGACCAGCUCAAUGUUUGGCUAACAGAAUGAUUGGAUACUACACCACUGAUAGUUUUAACCAACAUAUGAGAAAUUGAAAUACUUCUGAUUGAGUCCAGAGUCAACUCAAUGUCUGGCUGACAGAAUGAUGGGAUUAUUACACUACUGCAAAUUAGGACUGAGUAAUACUUAAAGCAAUAUGAUAUGUUGUCGCCAAUUUACCUACUUACCUUCGUUCCCUCAUGAUAUGAUGUGUAGCAAAGUUUGGCGAGGUUAGGCCUGAACACAGACAUAAGAAAAGAGCAUGAGCAAGAACCAAUAACAUAUACAUCUUUUAUCGACCUGUCAUAGAUAAUGUAGGAUAAACAAAUUAAAUAUGCUUUUGAAAAAGAAUGUAAAUUUCCACCACCGUAAACUGAAAUUAAAUAUAGAAACCCAAUUAGUCAUGUUCUAUUUCAGUAUUUUAUAUCUAAAAGAAUGAGGCAGGAGCAAGUAGAACAAAGGGUUUUAAUGGAGAAUAUACAUGCAAAACAUAAGGCCAUUCACAAACAAAGGGGAAAGGGCAGAGACGACUUCUGAAUGUCAUACAAAAUGGUUAUAUAACAAAAUUCAUCCAAAGCUAAAGGAAGAGGUCAUGGGCCAUGCUAUAAACCUUGCUCCUGUUAUAUAAUUGCUUGGAAGCCACAACAAUCCAAACCAUGAUAGGAUCAUGAAGAAAAUUAGCAAUCAACAUAAUAGGUGCAGAUUCAGGACAUGGUUCAAUUUUCUUUCAACAAGGAAAUAUGCAAAGGUGAGAUUGGUUACAUCUAGCAUUAAUUUCAUAUCCUAAUCCACCGAGGCAUCACACAUAACCAAUCCGUGUCAUAGAACGAAGGUGGAGAAACCGCACAUACAGAGUGGGACGAAGCGCAGGAGAAGGAAGAUAGGAGUGUGUGUACCUCAAAGAGGGCCAAACGCGUUGACGGGCUGUGUUGCUCUUGUCGCUGCUCCUUGAGCGCUUGGGGGAAGGGAGAGAAGGAGCGUAACAUCAACAAACUGUCCAAUCCGGUAAUACAUACAUUUAAUACUCGACUGUAAAACUACAGACAUUCAUACAUGAAUAAAAAAAGAAUUAAUACUCUACAUAGCCGACGAAGUACUUAUGAAUGAAAAAAAGGUAUCUGAUAAUUCAGAAAAGAAAAAUUGGUACCCAGAAGUAGCUAGUUACUACUAUUUCCUGAUGUUUGUUCUGCACAUCCAUUUCAAUUGAUUGUAUAGAGGCCAAUAUGUUAAAGACAGAGGAAUGCAAGAGGCGCAUAGUACUAACAAACUUGAUUACGCUAUCAAACAGUGUACAGCUAAACAAGAAGUGUGUGAUUGUACAACAAUAAACGCACAGAAUGAGCAUAUAACAUUUAGGAAAUGACCUUCUUCUCUGAUAGCUCAUGAAACAUACUGAAUGCCAACAACAUAAAUUAAAUAUACAAGGAAGCAACCAAAUAAAUGAGACACUAUAUGUGAAUAAUAUACAAAAAAAGAAGACGAUAGUUUCUCUGUUCAUAUAGAUCAGGUAUGAACCAUAAAUGUGUAUCUCUAGCACCACUGGGCCCUGUUUGAAACAGAGAAGUAAACCAGGAAUUUUAAGUCAGCCGUGCUCGUUGUCUAUCAGGUAUGGAACAAAGUAAAUGACCCUUCUUCUAUGUAUAUAUGGGCCCAGCUGGUUGCUUCAAACCAAAAACAAGUGAAGCACGCUCGAGGUCUUUAUAAAAAGACAAGACUUGUUAAAACAUGUUCACGACAUGAUCUUAUUUCCAUAGUGGUAUUAUAUUUUAUGAAUAUAGAGAAACUGAGGCUAGAUACAAAUUUAGUGAAUGUUCGUAUCAUAAAAGCCCGGAGUGGAACAAACUUUAUCACUUACGAUGUUUAAAUCUAUUGUGUGUUCUGCUAUAUCUAAAAUAGAGGGGGACCAGUAUGGUAAUAUCUUUGGAAUUCUGAUGGCCAAUUUAUCAAGAAUCUGUUGUUGGCAAGAAAAUUUGUAACACAUAUUGGUGAAAUGCAGUCAAUUAUUAUGUGUAAGAGGUCAACCGAUGGGUAGAUACAUAAUGGGCUCAUGAAGAAGAAUGGAGGGAGUCACCUGUGGAACAGAGCCAACAUUUAUAUUAUUUUUGCAGUCGUUGGAUCCAGUGUCUUUAUUUUGAUCUUCGAUUUGGCUGGUUAAAGUGAACAACUUCUUCUGCAAAUCACUUUCAUGGCUUUCAAAAAGCAUUGCGAGUAGCUUUGUCUGACACCUUGGUCACAGAACAAAUUUAUUUCCUUGCAGAUCCACUGGUAUUACUUGGUGAUUGAAUCAUAACUGACAAACCUACCAUAUUACUUGAGAUGCAACCAGUAAAAGCAAAGUUUGUGAAAGAACAAAUUAAGGCUUUGACAAUGUCUGAACAAUCCAUAUGACACUAAAUGGAAGUACAUGAUGAUGUUAUAUACCAUAACAUGGAUGGUUCUAGCAUCAGUUCUUGGUGUAGUUAGUCGCCAAUGCGGAGAGGGCAGAAAUAAUGGUGCUCACUUGGUCGCUCGGCAACCUCACCACCCAACUAAGGUGCAAGCUACUCCUGCAGAGAAACAUCAAAAGCAUAUGAUACAUCAGUGGAUAUUAGUAUAUCACUCAUCGAGAUAAUUUCUAUACAACUAAAGUUCGGAUAGACAAAUUCAACACCGAAAUGAUCCACUCUAAGAUCAGAUUGUUCAAUGAAAUUUUAUAUUGCACUUUUUAUCCCUAAGUAGAAUAAAAGAUCUGUACAAAAGCUGCAAUAAAAUCCUAUCAACCUAAGGGAGUGAAUCAAACUAAUCAACCAAGUGAAUGUACUGAACAUAAGAACUUGUUAUAGGGAUACGUCAGGAAAUAGAUCACACCUUAUCUAGUAUUGUGCCUCUCUUCAUUGUCACAUAAGAAAUUGUGCUAUAGGAUCUUUUCCCAGCCAAGUGAAAUGACGAGAAUGCCCUCGGCGGGGCAGCGUAAUUACGCGCGGUGGCACGGCCAGGCGGGACAUGGCUGUAGGAAAAAUAUCCGACGGCUGGAGACGGCCAAGCCCGAGAUCCAAUGGCCAGAACGCAAUCAGGAAACCGAUCCGACGGCUGAGAAUCCAAACGAACGGGGAAGCUCCAUUUUGCUUCAGACUCUAACAAGGGGAUUAAUUGUCCGAAAUCCGUGCCAAGUUUGCUUACUUGCCUGGCCCUACCUCUAAAUAUGUCUAGAUACAUCCAUUUUCAAGACAAAUAAUUCCGAACAAUAAACAAUAGUAACAUUGAGUAUCGCAUGAAGUUGCUCUUAGCUCGUUAGGAGGUCGCCAUCGCAAAACUAACUAGACAGUGGACGUCACAUCCAUCUACCAAGCUACUGUAUAUCUUAGUAGCUGCUAUCCAUAGCUCAACCAGACGCUGUGGAAGUUGUACACGAUAAGACAUUAUUUUUCUUCGAGCUAGGCUUGCUUAGCGUAACCUGAUGUAGCAUCUCUGUGCGUGCAUGCAUAUAUUUUUUUUUCUUUCAAAAAGUGGGGAAAAUCCUCAUGCCUCUGUAUCGAGUGAUCCACACAAUCAUAUAAUUUUUUAGUUACUGAUAAUCAUGACAGCAUCAUGUAUAAAUCAAUUUACAAAGAGGGAAAAGGAAAAGCUCGAAGCCAUUCACAUAGGACAUGCUUCAUGACAGCAUCCCUAUGUUGUACCUGCAACGACAUAUUAGCAGGCAAAGGACAUAAAUACUUUAAGACAGCGCCUUCAAAAAGGACCUGCCUCCAAGACAACGUGCAGAAGUGUAGUUCUGCUACCAUGUAUACAUUUAUACUUUCACCGUUCCUAAAUAUUGUUGGAUAAUCAGCAACUAGUAUUCACUGAGGGCUAUAGGCCAUUACAUAUACAUGUGUGGUAAAGUGCAAGAAACUCCUUAUACAAUGGGAUGUACCGAAAAGGGAAUAUACACAUCUAACCCCCCCUCCCCCCCCCCCUCAAACUCAUGGUGGAUCAACAACACUGAGUUUGGAGUGAAGAAAACUAUGCUGCGCUCGAGUCUGUGUCUUCGUGAAGAAGUCCGCCAACUGUAACUCCGAGGGUACAUAGUGGAGAGCGAGAGCCUGAUCCUGCACAGCAGCACGCACAAAGUGCGCAUCCACAUCGAUGUGUUUGGUGAGCUCAUGCUUCACCGGGUCACGUGCAAUACUGAUAGCACCGAUACUGUCUGACAGUAAGGGGGUCGAGGUAGUACACCAAAAUCCUCAAGUAACCACUAUAAUCAGAUCACCUCAGCCGUCAACAUAGUCAUGGCUCGCAACUCAGCCUCUGUACUCAAGCGAGAAACUGCAGUCUGUUUCUUUGUCUUCCAGGCAAUAAGAGAGCCACCAAGAAAGACACAGUAAGCAGACAGCGAGCGUCGGUCAAAGGGAUCGCUAGCCCAGGUAGCAUCAGAGUAGGCCUGAAGCUCAAGAGAGCUGGAGCGGGGAAAGAAAAGGCGCUGAGAAAUCGUGCCACGAAGAUAUCGCAAAACACUGAGGAGGUGACUAUAGUGGACAGAGGUGGGGGCUGAAACGAACUGACUCAGGAUGUGGACAAAACAGGAGAUGUCAGGACGCGUAACAGCAAGAUAGACAAGACAGCAAACGAGGUGACGUUAGCGAGUGGGAUUAGGAAGAGGGUCACCAUCAGAGGCACGAAGCUGAAUGUUGAGCUCCAUAGGAGUCACCACUGUGCGCUCAUCACCGAGAGCAGCGCGAGUAAGAAGAUCCUGAAUAUAUUUUUCUUGGGAGAUGUAGAAGCCAUUAGAGGUAGAGGAGAUCUCAAUCCCAAGAAAAUAGCGAAGCGGGCCAAGAUCAGUCAUGAGAAACUGGUCGCGAAGGCGAGCCUUAACAAAGGCAAUGUAGUUAGAGUAAUCACCAGUGAUGAUCAUGUCAUCAACAUAGAGAAGGAGGAGAGUCCGACCACGUGGAGACAUGUGAACAAACAAUAUUGGAUCAUGAUCACGGGGCAAGAAAUCAGCGGCAGUCACCACAGAGGUGAAGCUCUCAAACCAGGCGCGAGGGGCAUGUUUAAGACCAUAGAGGGAGCAGCGAAGUCGACAGACCAGACCCUCAGGAGCAUAGUACCCUAGUGGUGGCUGCAUAUAAACCUCCUCACGCAACUCGCCAUUGAGAAAGGCGUUCUGCAGAUCAAGUUGAGAGAUAGACCAAUGACGAACAGAAGCCAGCAAGGAGAGUGCGGAUAGUGGUCAUGUGAGCCACAGGAGCGAAUGUCUCAUCAUAAUCGCAUCCCUGCUCCUGCUGGAAGCCACGGGCCACAAACGAGCUUUGUAGCGCUCAAGAGAACCAUCAGAGCGAGUCUUAAUCUUGUAGACCCACUUGCAGCUGAUGGGACGAAUACCGGAAGAGAGGGAAACCAGAUCCCAGGUGCCAGAGCGCUCAAGGGCAACAAGCUCUUCAGCCAUCGCAAGCGGCCAUUCAGGCUGAGUCAUGGCAGUCAGAUAGGAAGUGGGCUCAGCAAUAGCAGAGAGACCGUACCGAUUAGGAGAAUAGCGAUCGGGCGGGGGGUAAGGCCGAGCAGGGAGGUUAUGAACCAGGGGAGGUGUGAACGAAGGUGCACCAGAGGUGGAAGGCGCACCAGGCACGUCAGGGGAAGCAUCCUCAAUACGAGGGCGGCGAGUAUAGUGGAGAGGAAAUGGUGAGAGAGGGCAACGGACUGGAGAUGAUGGUGGAGAGGUUGAGGAGGAGGAGGAUGGGGAAGAUGGUGUCGGUGGUGAAUGAGAAUGAAUGAGAGGUGCCGGAGGAAGAGCUGACACAUGAGGCACAUAGCAGGGUGUCUCGAGAAGAAGAAGAAACGAAAUAUCGCCCACAGAGAAGCUUGAGGAAGAAGGACGUGGGUAGUAAGAAUGAGACUCGUCAAAAGUCACAUCACGCGAGAUGCGCAAGCGACGACCAACAGGAUCCCAACAACGAUAGCCCUUGUGCUCAUCACUGUAGCCAAGGAAAACACACUCAACCGACUGAGCAGUCAGUUUGGUGCGUUCUCUGGGGGCAAGAAGGAUAUAGCACACACAUCCAAACAUACGAAGAGCUGAGUAGUCAGGAGAACGACCAGUGAGACACUCCAGAGGAAUACCACCCUGCAAAGCAGUCGAUGACUGAAUGUUGAUGAGAUAGAUGGAUGCACAGCCUCGGCACAAAAGUGGGGUGGAGGAGAAGCGGCAAUCAUCAGCGCACGAGCCAUCUCAAGCAGAUGAUGAUGCUUACAUUCGGCAACACCAUUCUGAGCAUGAGCACCAGGACAUGAGAACUGGGCAAGAGUACCCUGUUCCGCGAGAAAACCACGCAAUAUCUGGGAGAUAUACUCUCCAGUGGAGUCAGCACGAAAAGUACGAAUGGGCGUGGAAAACUGGAUGCGAACCAUGGCAGCAAAUCGUUUGUAUAUAGAUAGAACCUUGCUACGAGAUUUCACUAAGUAGAGCUAAGUGUAGCGAGAGAAAUCAUCAAUAAACAGAACAUAGUAGCGAUGACCACCUUUCGAAUCAAAGGGAGCAGGACCCCAAACAUCAUAAUAAACUAACACUACUAGGAAAAACACUACCAGUAGCGUAGGUUUUUUGCAUACCAGCAUUGUGGGUUCCCGCGCUACUAUUAUGACGCUACAGCUAACCUUUAGCAGUAGCGCGUUUUUUACCCCGCGCUACAGCUAAAAAAGUUAGUAGUAGUGCGGUGCCACCCACGCUACCACUAUUCCAAACCUACACUACUACUAUCUAACUACUAGUAGCGCCCCAUUUACACCUACGCUACUACUAUCCAAGUACUAGUAGCACCACAUCUUUACCCCAUGCUACAACUAACUAACCAAAAAAUAAAGAAAUAAAAAUAGAAGUCAGAUGCAAUAUUCAUGGAUAGAAAUCAAGACACAUCCAGUGCAAAUAAACUAAGUUCACAGAACCAUCUUAGCACUUGCAGCAUUCAUGGAUACAACAUUGAACAUCUCAACUCGAGAUCUCGGAAUCCCAUUUAACAUCAGAUGCAAAUAACUAGACCACUUCUCUAGAUAUAUCUACCAAGUUUCGGAGUUGAAACGUCGGUGGAUCCGAGCAGUCCCUCCCAGCGGACGGUGGCGUCGAGGUCCUCCACCUCGGCGACCUCCGGCGUCGCAAUGACCUGGACGAUCAUCUGUGUGGCGCGAUCGUCGGGCUUCACGAUGAAGUCCGCCUCCGAGUGGUUGAAGAGCAUGACGCCCACCAGGCCGCGGUAGUCCACGUCGAUCACCCCCGCGCCCACGUCGGAAAGUGAAAAAUUGUUAGUUGGCGUCCACAUCCGCAUCCAGUAGGGUACUUUCUUUCUUUUUAGCACAUGCACAUGAAUCAAUAGCAAUGCAUAAUAACAAGAAAAAAUAACCACGAAUCCUAAAGAAAAAGAUCAUUCUUUGGGCCAGCUUGAUAGUUUCAAGGCACGGAAAGGAUAAUAUUGGUAAAAGUCUUCAUUAACAAGAAAAAUGGACCGAGAUUUCUCAAAUGACAUUUGUUUCACCAACAAUGAUUAAUGAAGAGGCAUGUAAGAUUUACCUGAGCAGCAUCAGCAUACCCUCUGAUCCUUGCAAGAACUUAAAGGCCAAGGUUCUUAGCUUUCUCCCUUUUGACUAGCACAAGUCCAGUAGCACCAUCAGCAUACCCUCUGAUCCUAACAAAUUGACUCGAUUACAUGAUAAAUCUCAUCCAACUUCAUCACUGUCCAGCAAGCCUAUGAAGGAAUUGAUCACCCCCGAUGGUGAGCAUCAUAGAAUUGGCAAUGAAGAAGGGUUGGCGAUGAUGAUGGCGACGAAUCCCCUCUCCGGUGCCCCGAACGGACUCCAGAUCAGCCCUCCCGAUGAACAACAUGAGGUAGCGACGACUACGUAUCAUAAAAUGUGAUGCAACUUCUUCUCUUAUUUUUUCUCGAGGAAAAGGAAUUUAUAGGCUUGAGAUUAGGGUCGGCAGAGCCACGUGGGCCCCACAAGGUAACAUGGCAUGCCUAAGGAGGGUGGUCGCGCCCUAUUGCCUUGUGGGCAACUGGUGCCCCCCUCAAGUGGACCCUCACUCUAGUAUUUUUUAUAUAUUCCAUAAAAAUCUCCAAAAAGUUUCGUAUGAUUCCGAUAACUUUUAUUUGUGCGCAAAAACAACACCAUGAUAGUUCUGCUGAAAACAUCGUCAGUUCGGCUUAGUUUCAUUCAAAUCAUGCAAAUUCGAGUUAAAAAACAAGAGAAAAAUUGUUUGGAAAUGUAGAUACGACAGAGACGUAUCACUGUCCUUCUCCUCCUCCUUUGGUGGCAGUCCGGCCAUGGCACGGACCGCCCAAUUCUGCUCUCGGGUGGGGCUACGCGUGUUCGUCUGCUACCGCUUCUUCACAAUGCGGGAGUGGAUGGCUUUGUCCUCGGUGGCCGCCCGCAUCACCACAUCAGUCGCCUUCGCGGCCGCCAUGUCGGGCCUCGGCGGGCCUUAUCCUCUCCUUCCCACGGAGGGCACACCAGUCCUGGUGGGACUCAUACUCCGCCCGACUGGUGAUGGGGAAGGAGAGAUUUGAAGGUUGUCGGGACCGCAGUGAUCCAGCCCCGAGGAUUCGAGCGCUCGUUCAGCCUACGCUAAGGAGUCGCGCCGGACAGGUCCUACCGUCGGCCGGGCGCUGUGCUCUCGGGAGCGGCGGAGUGCAAUGCAGAUGGACAUUGCCUCCUCCAACCCGCAUGGGAUUAUUUGUGUUCGCCUUUCCUUGUUUUUCACUGGAGAAUAAGUCUCUCUCCUGGAAAGGGUGAGGGGAUACAAAAGACUGGAAGGUAGAUUGUGGUGUCUAGCAAUCGGAUGAGAUGAUAGGUAGAUUGCGGUUGAAUUUUGUUUUCUGCACUUGCAUGUGGUCUGAUAAGAUGCUUUCCGUCCUGUUGGUGAUAUGUUUUGUGUAGGUUGCUGAUAUGUGUCUUGUAGCAUGGGAUUAUUCUUGUACUUAACAUUCAUUAUAUAACAGUCACAACCUAGAACGAUAAACAAUGAUUCCAAUUCAUCAAUGUAAUGUAGGCAUGCAUUCCGUCUAUAUAAUAAGAACUUGCAUGACAUCUUUUGUCCUACCCUCUCGUGGCAGCGGGGGUCCUUAAGGAAACUAAGGGAUAUGAAGGCCUCCUUUUAAUAGAGAACCGGAACGAAGCAUUAACACAUAAUGAAUAUAUGAACUCCUCGAAUUACAGUUAACCCCGGAGAGUAUCCCAAACAAUUGUCACUAUGGGGUGUACGGAUCAGAACAAUAAUAAGUGCAUAUAACUAGGAGAUAGGAUCAAAAAUUCAAAUAUAUUCAUGAAAACAUAAAAAGGGUUCAGAUAUAAAAUCAUGCCACUCGGGCCCUAGCGACAAGUAUUAAGCAUGGCAAAGUCAUAGCAAAAUCAAACACAGAACAUAGUGGAUACUAGGGAUCAAGUCCUAACAAACUGACUCGAUUACGACGAUAAAUCUCAUCCAACUCCAUCGUUGUCCAGCAAGCCUACGAAAGAAUUAAUCACCCUCGAUGGUGAGCAUCAUGGAGUUGGCAAUGAAGAAGGGUUAGCGAUGAUGAUGUCGACAGAUCCCCUCUUCGGAGCCCCGGACGAACUAUAGAUUAGCCCUCCCAAUGAAGAACAGAAGGUGGCGACGACUUCGUAUCGUAAAAUGCGAUGCAACUUUUUCUCUUGUUUUUUCUUGAGGAAAAGGAAUUUAUAGACUUGAGAUCAGGGUCAACAGAGCCAUGUGGGUCCCACAAGGUAACAAGGCGUGCCUAAGGAGGGUGGCCGCGCCCUUUUGCCUUGUGGGCAACUGGUGGCCCAUCUCGAGUGGACCCUCGCUCCAGUAUUUUUUAUAUAUUCCAUAAAAAUCUCCAAAAAGUUUUGUAUCAUUCCAAAAACUUUUAUUUCUGCACAAAAACAACACCAUGAUAGUUCUGCUGAAAACAAUAUCAGUUCGGGUUAGUUUCAUUCAAAUCAUGCAAAUUCGAGUUAAAAAACAAGAGAAAAAUUGUUUUGUCCUACCCUCUCGUGGCAGCGGGGCUCCUUAAGGAAACUAAGGGAUAUGAAGGCCUCCUUUUAAUAGAGAACCGGAACGAAGCAUUAACACAUAAUGAAUAUAUGAACUCCUCGAAUUACAGUCAACCCCGGAGAGUAUCCCAAACAAUUAUCACUAUGGGGUGUACGGAUCAGAACAAUAAUAAGUGCAUAUAACUAGGAGAUAGGAUAAAAAAUUCAAAUAUAUUCAUGAAAACAUAAAAAGGGUUCAGAUCUAAAAUCAUGCCACUUGGGCCCUAGCGACAAGUAUUAAGCAUGGCAAAGUCAUAGCAAAAUCAAACACAGAACGUAGUGGAUACUAGGGAUCAAGUCCUAACAAACUGACUCGAUUACGACGAUAAAUCUCAUCCAACUCCAUCGUUGUCCAGCAAGCCUACGAAAGAAUUAAUCACCCCCGAUGGUGAGCAUCAUGGAAUUGGCAAUGAAGAAGGGUUGGCGAUGAUGAUGUCGACGGAUCCCCUCUUCGGAGCCCCGGACGAACUACAGAUUAGCCCUCCCAAUGAAGAACAGAAGGUGGCGACGACUUCGUAUCGUAAAAUGCGAUGCAACUUUUUCUCUUGUUUUUUCUUGAGGAAACGGAAUUUAUAGACUUGAGAUCAGGGUCAACAGAGCCACGUGGGUCCCACAAGGUAACAAGGCGUGCCUAAGGAGGGUGGCCGCGCCCUUUUGCCUUGUGGGCAACUGGUGGCCCCCCUCGAGUGGACCCUCGCUCCAGUAUUUUUUAUAUAUUCCAUAAAAAUCUCCAAAAAGUUUUGUAUGAUUCCAAAAACUUUUAUUUCUGCACAAAAACAACACCAUGAUAGUUCUGCUGAAAACAAUGUCAGUUCGGGUUAGUUUCAUUCAAAUCAUGCAAAUUCGAGUUAAAAAUCAAGAGAAAAAUUGUUUUGUCCUACCCUCUCGUGGCAGCGGGGCUCCUUAAGGAAACUAAGGGAUAUGAAGGCCUCCUUUUAAUAGAGAACCGGAACGAAGCAUUAACACAUAAUGAAUAUAUGAACUCCUCGAAUUACAGUCAACCCCGGAGAGUAUCCCAAACAAUUGUCACUAUGGGGUGUACGGAUCAGAACAAUAAUAAGUGCAUAUAACUAGGAGAUAGGAUAAAAAAUUCAAAUAUAUUCAUGAAAACAUAAAAAGGGUUCAGAUCUAAAAUCAUGCCACUUGGGCCCUAGCGACAAGUAUUAAGCAUGGCAAAGUCAUAGCAAAAUCAAACACAGAACGUAGUGGAUACUAGGGAUCAAGUCCUAACAAACUGACUCGAUUACGGCGAUAAAUCUCAUCCAACUCCAUCGUUGUCCAGCAAGCCUACGAAAGAAUUAAUCACCCCCGAUGGUGAGCAUCAUGGAAUUGGCAAUGAAGAAGGGUUGGCGAUGAUGAUGUCGACGGAUCCCCUCUUCGGAGCACCGGACGAACUACAGAUUAGCCCUCCCAAUGAAGAACAGAAGGUGGCGACGACUUCGUAUCGUAAAAUGCGAUGCAACUUUUUCUCUUGUUUUUUCUUGAGGAAAAGGAAUUUAUAGACUUGAGAUCAGGGUCAACAGAGCCACGUGGGUCCCACAAGGUAACAAGGCGUGCCUAAGGAGGGUGGCCGCGCCCUUUUGCCUUGUGGGCAACUGGUGGACCCCCUCGAGUGGACCCUCGCUCCAGUAUUUUUUAUAUAUUCCAUAAAAAUCUCCAAAAAGUUUUGUAUCAUUCCAAAAACUUUUAUUUCUGCACAAAAACAACACCAUGAUAGUUUUGCUGAAAACAAUGUCAGUUCGGGUUAGUUUCAUUCAAAUCAUGCAAAUUCGAGUUAAAAAACAAGAGAAAAAUUGUUUUGUCCUACCCUCUCGUGGCAGCGGGGCUCCUUAAGGAAACUAAGGGAUAUGAAGGCCUCCUUUUUAUAGAGAACCGGAACGAAGCAUUAACACAUAAUGAAUAUAUGAACUCCUCGAAUUACAGUCAACCCCGGAAAGUAUCCCAAACAAUUGUCACUAUGGGGUGUACGGAUCAGAACAAUAAUAAGUGCAUAUAACUAGGAGAUAGGAUCAAAAAUUCAAAUAUAUUCAUCAAAACAUAAAAAGGGUUCAGAUCUAAAAUCAUGCCACUUGGGCCCUAGCGACAAGUAUUAAGCAUGGCAAAGUCACAGCAAAAUCAAACACAGAACGUAGUGGAUACUAGGGAUCAAGUCCUAACAAACUGACUCAAUUACGACGAUAAAUCUCAUCCAACUCCAUAGUUGUCCAGCAAGCCUACGAAAGAAUUAAUCACCCUCGAUGGUGAGCAUCAUGGAAUUGGCAAUGAAGAAGGGUUGGCGAUGAUGAUGUCGACGGAUCCCCUCUUCGGAGCCCCGGACGAACUACAGAUUAGCCCUCCCAAUGAAGAACAGAAGGUGGCGACGACUUCGUAUCGUAAAAUGCGAUGCAACUUUUUCUCUUGUUUUUUCUUGAGGAAAAGGAAUUUAUAGACUUGAGAUCAGGGUCAAUAGAGCCACGUGGGUCCCACAAGGUAACAAGGCGUGCCUAAGGAGGGUGGCCGCGCCCUUUUGCCUUGUGGGCAACUGGUGGCCCCCCUCGAGUGGACCCUCGCUCCAGUAUUUUUUAUAUAUUCCAUAAAAAUCUCCAAAAAGUUUUGUAUGAUUCCAAAAACUUUUAUUUCUGCACAAAAACAACACCAUGAUAGUUCUGCUGAAAACAAUGUCAGUUCGGGUUAGUUUCAUUCAAAUCAUGCAAAUUCGAGUUAAACAACAAGAGAAAAAUUGUUUUGUCCUACCCUCUCGUGGCAGCGGGGCUCCUUAAGGAAACUAAGGGAUAUGAAGGCCUCCUUUUAAUAGAGAACCGGAACGAAGCAUUAACACAUAAUGAAUAUAUGAACUCCUCGAAUUACAGUCAACCCCGGAGAGUAUCCCAAACAAUUGUCACUAUGGGGUAUACGGAUCAGAACAAUAAUAAGUGCAUAUAACUUGGAGAUAGGAUAAAAAAUUCAAAUAUAUUAAUGAAAACAUAAAAAGGGUUCAGAUCUAAAAUCAUGCCACUUGGGCCCUAGCGACAAGUAUUAAGCAUGGCAAAGUCAUAGCAAAAUCAAACACAGAACGUAGUGGAUACUAGGGAUCAAGUCCUAACAAACUGACUCGAUUACGACGAUAAAUCUCAUCCAACUCCAUCGUUGUCCAGCAAGCCUACGAAAGAAUUAAUCACCCCCGAUGGUGAGCAUCAUGGAAUUGGCAAUGAAGAAGGGUUGGCGAUGAUGAUGUCGACGGAUCCCCUCUUCGGAGCCCCGGACGAACUACAGAUUAGCCCUCCCAAUGAAGAACAGAAGGUGGCGACGACUUCGUAUCGUAAAAUGCGAUGCAACUUUUUCUCUUGUUUUUUCUUGAGGAAAAGGAAUUUAUAGACUUGAGAUCAAGGUCAAUAGAGCCACGUGGGUCCCACAAGGUAACAAGGCGUGCCUAAGGAGGGUGGCCGCGCCCUUUUGCCUUGUGGGCAACUGGUGGCCCCCCUCGAGUGGACCCUCGCUCCAGUAUUUUUUAUAUAUUCCAUAAAAAUCUCCAAAAAGUUUUGUAUGAUUCCAAAAACUUUUAUUUCUGCACAAAAACAACACCAUGAUAGUUCCGCUGAAAACAAUGUCAGUUCGGGUUAGUUUCAUUCAAAUCAUGCAAAUUCGAGUUAAACAACAAGAGAAAAAUUGUUUUGUCCUACCCUCUCGUGGCAGCGGGGCUCCUUAAGGAAACUAAGGGAUAUGAAGGCCUCCUUUUAAUAGAGAACCGGAACGAAGCAUUAACACAUAAUGAAUAUAUGAACUCCUCGAAUUACAGUCAACUCCGGAGAGUAUCCCAAACAAUUGUCACUAUGGGGUGUACGGAUCAGAACAAUAAUAAGUGCAUAUAACUAGGAGAUAGGAUAAAAAAUUCAAAUAUAUUCAUGAAAACAUAAAAAGGGUUCAGAUCUAAAAUAAUGCCACUUGGGCCCUAGCGACAAGUAUUAAGCAUGGCAAAGUCAUAGCAAAAUCAAACACAGAACGUAGUGGAUACUAGGGAUCAAGUCCUAACAAACUGACUCGAUUACGACGAUAAAUCUCAUCCAACUCCAUCGUUGUCCAGCAAGCCUACGAAAGAAUUAAUCACCCCCGAUGGUGAGCAUCAUGGAAUUGGCAAUGAAGAAGGGUUGGCGAUGAUGAUGUCGACGGAUCCCCUCUUCGGAGCCCCGGACGAACUACAGAUUAGCCCUCCCAAUGAAGAACAGAAGGUGGCGACGACUUCGUAUCGUAAAAUGCGAUGCAACUUUUUCUCUUGUUUUUUCUUGAGGAAAAGGAAUUUAUAGACUUGAGAUCAGGGUCAACAGAGCCACGUGGGUCCCACAAGGUAACAAGGCGUGCCUAAGGAGGGUGGCCGCGCCCUUUUGCCUUGUGGGCAACUGGUGGCCCCCCUCGAGUGGACCCUCGCUCCAGUAUUUUUUAUAUAUUCCAUAAAAAUCUCCAAAAAGUUUUGUAUGAUUCCAAAAACUUUUAUUUCUGCACAAAAACAACACCAUGGUAGUUCCGCUGAAAACAAUGUCAGUUCGGGUUAGUUUCAUUCAAAUCAUGCAAAUUCGAGUUAAAAAACAAGAGAAAAAUUGUUUUGUCCUACCCUCUCGUGGCAGCGGGGGUCCUUAAGGAAACUAAGGGAUAUGAAGGCCUCCUUUUAAUAGAGAACCGGAACGAAGCAUUAACACAUAAUGAAUAUAUGAACUCCUCGAAUUACAGUCAACCCCGGAGAGUAUCCCAAACAAUUGUCACUAUGGGGUGUACGGAUCAGAACAAUAAUAAGUGCAUAUAACUAGGAGAUAGGAUCAAAAAUUCAAAUAUAUUCAUGAAAACAUAAAAUGGGUUCAGAUAUAAAAUCAUGCCACUCGGGCCCUAGCGACAAGUAUUAAGCAUGGCAAAGUCAUAGCAAAAUCAAACACAGAACGUAGUGGAUACUAGGGAUCAAGUCCUAACAAACUGACUCGAUUACGACGAUAAAUCUCAUCCAACUCCAUCGUUGUCCAGCAAGCCUACGAAAGAAUUAAUCACCCCCGAUGGUGAGCAUCAUGGAAUUGGCAAUGAAGAAGGGUUGGCGAUGAUGAUGUCGACGGAUCCCCUCUUCGGAGCCCCGGACGAACUACAGAUUAGCCCUCCCAAUGAAGAACAGAAGGUGGCGACGACUUCGUAUCGUAAAAUGCGAUGCAACUUUUUCUCUUGUUUUUUCUUGAGGAAAAGGAAUUUAUAGACUUGAGAUCAGGGUCAACAGAGCCACGUGGGUCCCACAAGGUAACAAGGCGUGCCUAAGGAGGGUGGGCGCGCCCUUUUGCCUUGUGGGCAACUGGUGGCCCCCCUCGAGUGGACCCUCGCUCCAGUAUUUUUUAUAUAUUCCAUAAAAAUCUCCAAAAAGUUUUGUAUGAUUCCAAAAACUUUUAUUUCUGCACAAAAACAACACCAUGAUAGUUCCGCUGAAAACAAUGUCAGUUCGGGUUAGUUUCAUUCAAAUCAUGCAAAUUCGAGUUAAAAAACAAGAGAAAAAUUGUUUUGUCCUACCCUCUCGUGGCAGCGGGGGUCCUUAAGGAAACUAAGGGAUAUGAAGGCCUCCUUUUAAUAGAGAACCGGAACGAAGCAUUAACACAUAAUGAAUAUAUGAACUCCUCGAAUUACAGUCAACCCCGGAGAGUAUCCCAAACAAUUGUCACUAUGGGGUGUACGGAUCAGAACAAUAAUAAGUGCAUAUAACUAGGAGAUAGGAUCAAAAAUUCAAAUAUAUUCAUGAAAACAUAAAAAGGGUUCAGAUAUAAAAUCAUGCCACUCGGGCCCUAACGACAAGUAUUAAGCAUGGCAAAGUCAUAGCAAAAUCAAACACAGAACGUAGUGGAUACUAGGGAUCAAGUCCUAACAAACUGACUCGAUUACGACGAUAAAUCUCAUCCAACUCCAUUGUUGUCCAGCAAGCCUACGAAAGAAUUAAUCACCCCCGAUGGUGAGCAUCAUGGAAUUGGCAAUGAAGAAGGGUUGGCGAUGAUGAUGUCGACGGAUCCCCUCUUCGGAGCCCCGGACGAACUACAGAUUAGCCCUCCCAAUGAAGAACAGAAGGUGGCGACGACUUCGUAUCGUAAAAUGCAAUGCAACCUUUUCUCUUGUUUUUUCUUGAGGAAAAGGAAUUUAUAGACUUGAGAUCAGGGUCAACAGAGCCACGUGGGUCCCACAAGGUAACAAGGCGUGCCUAAGGAGGGUGGCCGCGCCCUUUUGCCUUGUGGGCAACUGGUGGCCCCCCUCGAGUGGACCCUCGCUCCAGUAUUUUUUAUAUAUUCCAUAAAAAUCUCCAAAAAGUUUUGUAUGAUUCCAAAAACUUUUAUUUCUGCACAAAAACAACACCAUGAUAGUUCCGCUGAAAACAAUGUCAGUUCGGGUUAGUUUCAUUCAAAUCAUGCAAAUUCGAGUUAAAAAACAAGAGAAAAAUUGUUUUGUCCUACCCUCUCGUGGCAGCGGAGGUCCUUAAGGAAACUAAGGGAUAUGAAGGCCUCCUUUUAAUAGAGAACCGGAACGAAGCAUUAACACAUAAUGAAUAUAUGAACUCUUCGAAUUACAGUCAACCCCGGAGAGUAUCCCAAACAAUUGUCACUAUGGGGUGUACGGAUCAGAACAAUAAUAAGUGCAUAUAACUAGGAGAUAGGAUCAAAAAUUCAAAUAUAUUCAUGAAAACAUAAAAAGGGUUCAGAUAUAAAAUCAUGCCACUCGGGCCCUAGCGACAAGUAUUAAGCAUGGCAAAGUCAUAGCAAAAUCAAACACAGAACGUAGUGGAUACUAGGGAUCAAGUCCUAACAAACUGACUCGAUUACGACGAUAAAUCUCAUCCAACUCCAUCGUUGUCCAGCAAGCCUACGAAAGAAUUAAUCACCCCCGAUGGUGAGCAUCAUGGAAUUGGCAAUGAAGAAGGGUUGGUGAUGAUGAUGUCGACGGAUCCCCUCUUCGGAGCCCCGGACGAACUACAGAUUAGCCCUCCCAAUGAAGAACAGAAGGUGGCGACGACUUCGUAUCGUAAAAUGCGAUGCAACUUUUUCUCUUGUUUUUUCUUGAGGAAAAGGAAUUUAUAGACUUGAGAUCAGGGUCAAUAGAGCCACGUGGGUCCCACAAGGUAACAAGGCGUGCCUAAGGAGGGUGGCCGCGCCCUUUUGCCUUGUGGGCAACUGGUGGCCCCCCUCGAGUGGACCCUCGCUCCAGUAUUUUUUAUAUAUUCCAUAAAAAUCUCCAAAAAGUUUUGUAUGAUUCCAAAAACUUUUAUUUCUGCACAAAAUCAACACCAUGAUAGUUCCGCUGAAAACAAUGUCAGUUCGGGUUAGUUUCAUUCAAAUCAUGCAAAUUCGAGUUAAAAAACAAGAGAAAAAUUGUUUUGUCCUACCCUCUCGUGGCAGCGGGGGUCCUUAAGGAAACUAAGGGAUAUGAAGGCCUCCUUUUAAUAGAGAACCGGAACGAAGCAUUAACACAUAAUGAAUAUAUGAACUCCUCGAAUUACAGUCAACCCCGGAGAGUAUCCCAAACAAUUGUCACUAUGGGGUGCACGGAUCAGAACAAUAAUAAGUGCAUAUAACUAGGAGAUAGGAUAAAUAAUUCAAAUAUAUUCAUGAAAACAUAAAAAGGGUUCAGAUCUAAAAUCAUGCCACUUGGGCCCUAGCGACAAGUAUUAAGCAUGGUAAAGUCAUAGCAAAAUCAAACACAGAACGUAGUGGAUACUAGGGAUCAAGUCCUAACAAACUGACUCGAUUACGACGAUAAAUCUCAUCCAACUCCAUCGUUGUCCAGCAAGCCUACGAAAGAAUUAAUCACCCCCGAUGGUGAGCAUCAUGGAAUUGGCAAUGAAGAAGGGUUGGCGAUGAUGAUGUCGACGGAUCCCCUCUUCGGAGCCCCGGACGAACUACAGAUUAGCCCUCCCAAUGAAGAACAGAAGGUGGCGACGACUUCGUAUCGUAAAAUGCGAUGCAACUUUUUCUCUUGUUUUUUCUUGAGGAAAAGGAAUUUAUAGACUUGAGAUCAGGGUCAACAGAGCCACGUGGGUCCCACAAGGUAACAAGGCGUGCCUAAGGAGGGUGGCCGCGCCCUUUUGCCUUGUGGGCAACUGGUGGCCCCCCUCGAGUGGACCCUCGCUCCAGUAUUUUUUAUAUAUUCCAUAAAAAUCUCCAAAAAGUUUUGUAUGAUUCCAAAAACUUUUAUUUCUGCACAAAAUCAACACCAUGAUAGUUCUGCUGAAAACAAUGUCAGUUCGGGUUAGUUUCAUUCAAAUCAUGCAAAUUCGAGUUAAAAAACAAGAGAAAUAUUGUUUUGUCCUACCCUCUCGUGGCAGCGGGGGUCCUUAAGGAAACUAAGGGAUAUGAAGGCCUCCUUUUAAUAGAGAACCGGAACGAAGCAUUAACACAUAAUGAAUAUAUGAACUCCUCGAAUUACAGUCAACCCCGGAGAGUAUCCCAAACAAUUGUCACUAUGGGGUGUACGGAUCAGAACAAUAAUAAGUGCAUAUAACUAGGAGAUAGGAUAAAAAUUUCAAAUAUAUUCAUGAAAACAUAAAAAGGGUUCAGAUCUAAAAUCAUGCCACUUGGGCCCUAGCGACAAGUAUUAAGCAUGGCAAAGUCAUAGCAAAAUCAAACACAGAACGUAGUGGAUACUAGGGAUCAAGUCCUAACAAACUGACUCGAUUACGACGAUAAAUCUCAUCCAACUCCAUCGUUGUCCAGCAAGCCUACGAAAGAAUUAAUCACCCCCGAUGGUGAGCAUCAUGGAAUUGGCAAUGAAGAAGGGUUGGCGAUGAUGAUGUCGACGGAUCCCCUCUUCGGAGCCCCGGACGAACUACAGAUUAGCCCUCCCAAUGAAGAACAGAAGGUGGCGACGACUUCGUAUCGUAAAAUGCAAUGCCACUUUUUCUCUUGUUUUUUCUUGAGGAAAAGGAAUUUAUAGACUUGAGAUCAGGGUCAACAGAGCCACGUGGGUCCCACAAGGUAACAAGGCGUGCCUAAGGAGGGUGGGCGCGCCCUUUUGCCUUGUGGGCAACUGGUGGCCCCCCUCGAGUGGACCCUCGCUCCAGUAUUUUUUAUAUAUUCCAUAAAAAUCUUCAAAAAGUUUUGUAUGAUUCCAAAAACUUUUAUUUCUGCAUAAAAACAACACCAUGAUAGUUCUGCUGAAAACAAUGUCAGUUCGGGUUAGUUUCAUUGAAAUCAUGCAAAUUCGAGUUAAAAAACAAGAGAAAAUAAAAGUUGCCCUGCCUGCCCUGCCCUGCCCUGCCCUGCCCCCUGGAUUCAUUCAUUCAUUCAUUCUCCCUCCCCUCCUUCCUUCCUACCUAAUCCUAGAGGAGCAUAGCUAGGGUUCCUCCCCGCAGCCGUCGCCUCCUCUCCUCUCCUCACCCCGCCGCCGCCGGCCAACGAGAUCCAGCCAGCGAGAUCCGACCGACGCCGUCUCCGUCUCCGUCUCCGCCUCGCCGCCGCCGCCUGGUAAGCUCAAGCUCCUCGCCGCCUUCCUUGUUCAGAUCGGCCAGCCCAGCCCAGCCGUCCAUGGAGGAGAGGAGAGGAGAGGAGAGGAGAGGAGAUGGAUCCCCUCGCUCGCUCGCUCCCUCCCAAUCGCUCGGUCGGUCGGUUGUUGCUGUUCGAUUCGAUGCCAAACUAGUACUAGUAUAGAUCUGAAACUAAUAAUUUAUUUUUAUUUUUAUUUGAUUUGAUUUAUUAAUGGAUUGAAACAACUCUUUCACCAUAUUUAUAUAUAUGCAGAUUAGAUUUGAUUUUAUUUUAUUUACAGACAGAUAGAUAUGGAUAUAGUAGCUCAUGUACCACCAUAAUAUGCUGCUGUUGCUUUUAUUAUAUUAUUAUUAUACAUCUAUAUCUAUCUAUCUAAGAUUUUUUGCUCCCUCAUGUUAUGUCAUAGUGCUUGCUAUAUACUACAUCUGCCUGUGGUCUGCUCUGACUGCUUGCCAUGUCAUGUGCUCACACUCUUCUUCUUCUUGUUUGAUUUCAGCUUCGGCAUGUCGCAUUCCAACGAAGUAAGGUCGGUCCACUACACUACACUUGCUUUCAUUUCUCCCCUAACAGACCAUCAUCACAUCUCCGCUACAGCCAUGUCAUCAAAAGAUGCUCCAAUUUAUCUCUUCUUAUCACUUUGACUUUGGUUUGCUGCUCUAUUCUUGUCCACACUGUAAAAAGGGAGAAACCCUGCCUUUGUUGUUUUCAGGUACACCGCGCGCUCCAUCACGCCUCCGGCAGACAGGGACAGCGGCUCCAAGUCGCCCCCACCACGGAGGCGCGCGGCUUCCAAGUCGCCCCCACCACGGAGGCGCGCGGCUUCCAAGUCGCCUCCCCUGCCUCCCCCUCCCCCUUUCCCUCCCAAGGGGGUGCGCACCAUCUCGAGGUCGCCUCCACCUAGUAGUAGAAGACGCAGCGUCUCGAGGUCCCCUCCACCAAAGAGGCGCGGCAGGUCCAGGUCCAGGUCCAGGUCCAGGAACAGGAGCCGCUCCAGGCAAGUCGUCAUCGGUUUGAUGUUUAUUUCUUUGUACCAUAUAAUAGACCAUCCAUGUUUAUGUGUCAUUUUGCUAGUGAUGAUGGAUAAUGCUGCUGCUUCUUCUGAUGAUGUAUUACAGUUAUGUAUGUAUAUAGCUGGUCAAAAACAAUAGUUGCUUAAUGAUGUACAUCAUCACAAAGAUACUGAUAUUGACAUCGCUUCUCUUCUCUUCUCCUAAUAAUAUGUAUGUUUCAGGAGCAGAGACAAAGACGAUGUGAGGAAUCCUGGCAACAACCUCUAUGUCACUGGACUGUCCACACGGACGCAGGAAACUGACCUGGAGAAGUUCUUCAGCAAAGAGGGCAAGGUACUCUGUCUGUCCUCUGCUUUGUUCCUUCAUGCCUGAUGAUGCCUGCCACGAUGCUUCUCCUUUUAUCUGGGAUGGGGCUGCUUGUUCAUUGCGUGAUUCUUAUUUCACUAAACCUGACGCGCGAUGCGGCAAAACUGCAGGUUAAAGACUGCCGUGUCGUUAUCGAUCCUCGUACGAAAGAAUCACGUGGCUUUGCGUUCGUGACCAUGGAGAAUGUUGAGGAUGCAAGGCGCUGCAUCAAGUACCUGCACCGUACUGUACUUGAAGGCCGCCUCAUCAGUGUGGCAAAGGUAUAAACAAACUUCUCUGCGUGUAACAACCUUGAUGCUAACUUGUGUCACACAACCAUCUUCUUCUUUGCAUUUGCAUAUGCGUUUAAGGUAGUUCCUGUUACCAGGUAGUCAUAGCUUUCUGGGCCAACUUUAUCUGGAAUAAGCCACACAUCCUAGGAUGCAGUUUACAAGUUAAGAGCUCAGUAGUUCAACACCAGAACGAGCCCAUUACAGGCCUUCCUUUUAUGCUGCUUUCUAGUCAACUAAAUAUAUCUUGAUCUCUAACAUCUUCUUCUAUACAUAUGAAAACCUUGACCAAUAUGGUUAUAAACUCGGUCAAGUGUCCCUGAAAAAUCUGCCAGAGCAAAUUGAUUCUUAGAAACACUGAUGUGAAAACUGAAAACUAUCAUGUUCUUUCCAUAUCCACUUCAGCAGUAAGGUAGUUCUUGUUACAUGAUGAUCUUGACUUACAUUUUUUACCUUUUCUACUGCCAACUUUUUGGGUCAACUUUAUCUGGGAAUAAGCCACAAACCCUAGGACACAGCUUACAAGUUACGAACUAUUGAUUUCAAUACCAUAAUGAGGCCAUUACAGACCUUUCUUGUGUCGCAUCUAGUCUAAAACACAGUAUGUCUUGGGACAUAUUGUUUUGUAAAUAUCAAAACCCUGACCAGUUUUGUAUCUAACAUCUUGUUCCAACUUUUAAGUGUCCCUGAAAAUCAGCCAGAGUAUUGAGUAGUUCUUAGAAACACUGAUUUAUUUGGGUUCAUUGCUAUCCAUAUAUAUAUUGGGGUGUCCUGAAUAAUUUGAUUCAUCAGGAGAGAAUUGUUUGGUUAUGCUCGUUAACAUUUUCAGUGCAGGAAAUAAAAAAGUACCUUGUUUUCUGUGUUCCUUUGCUUUUUUUUUGUGCUGAUUUCCACGACCAUGCAGCUUCCACACUGCUGGGCUAGCAUUAAUUCUAGUCAGUGUUCUGUGUAGAAUUAUUGAACUAAAUGCUGGCUGCACCCACCUGUUGGUUUGUACAACCUCUUCUUCAACCUUACAAUCUGUUGCCUCUCGAAUCUCCAUCACCCUCACGAACAUCACCAUCACGCUCGUGAUCAUCGCCUACUACGCUGUCUGCACCGACUUCGAGUGAGAGCACGGCUCGGAACGCUGCACUGCUACGCGUCACCACCGACCGACCGAGCACCUCAUUCUGGGGACCUUGGAGUGAGAGCGCGGCUCUCGAGGCUGCACUGCUACGCGUCACCACCAACCGACCGAGCACCUCAAGUCAUUCUGGCGAUCUUCGAGUGAGAGCGUGGCUCUCAAGGCUGCACUGCUACGCGUCACCACCGACGGACCGAGCACCCAAGUCAUGCUGGUGAUCUUGGAGUGAGAGCACGGCUCUCAAACGCUGCACUGCUAUGCGUCGCCACCGACUGACCGAGCACCUCAAGUCAUGCUGGUGAUCUUGGAGUGAGAGCGCAGCUCUCAAGGCUGCACUGCUACGCGUCACCACCGACCGACCGGGCACCUCAAGCUACUCUGGUGAUCCUGGAGUGAGAGCGCGGCUCUCAAGGCUGCACUGCUGCGCGUCACCUCCGACAGACCGAGCACCAAAAGUCAUUCUGGUGUUCUUGGAGUGAGAGCUAUGCGUCACCACCGUAGACCUCCCCGUGUUACGUGUAGCUACUGUGGUACGUGGUACUACAUUGUUGGAGCUACUGUGGUAAGUGUAGCUGGUGUUGGAUGUCUUCAGCGCGCCUUCCGUCAGGGCCAGUUUGAUGCACAUUUCAUUCAUUGCCUCGAGUAAAAUUAUUUAUUAAUGCAGAAUGAUUAUGAUCCAUGCAUUCGAAUUCGUAUUCGCUGACGACCUUGUGAAUUGCAGGCAAAGAGAACUCGUGAGAGGACCCCUACCCCUGGAGAAUACUGUGGUCCGAGAGGUAUGCAUGGAGACGAGUUUUGCUUCCCGCGGUUGCAUUUGAAAUAGAUGCUUUGCUUCCUGUUAUUGAUAUUUUUUUCUGUAGGCUGUCUUGUCUGUAUUAUAGCAUGAGUUUCUUGUACUUGCCUUUGCUUUGAUUAGAUUCCUAGCAUUUGGAGUAGCUUAUUAUCCCACGGUUGACUUUAGCCGACACGAUGGGAUGUGUAUUUUUAAUUCUCCAGUGGUGUCAUGUUAGAUUAAUUCACAGCAUCGUUGUUCCUCUUGGUUCACUGGAACACUUUUCAUGUAACCAGAGGUUUUAGUAUGAACAUUGUAUGGCUGUCUUGUUUUACACUGGAGAUUAGUUAGUCUCCUGGGAAGGAUGGGAUACCAAGAUUGCGGUCAGGUUAGAUGAUUUGUACUGCGGUUGUCUGAUCUGUCUUGUAGCAUGAUUUUUUUUUUACUUGCCGUGGCUUUGCUCAGAUUCCUAUAAUUUAGAGAAGCUUAUUAUUCUAUGAUUAACUCUGGCCAACACGAUGGGCUGUGCAUUUUUAAUUUUCCAGCGGUGUGAUUUUAGAUUAGUUUGGUUCACUAGAACACUUUACCAGUCGUCGCAGGUUUUAGUAUGAAGAAUGCGUUGUUAUUUGUGUCCACCUUUCCUUGUUUUUCACUGGAGAAUAAGUCUCUCUCCUGGGAAGGGUGAGGGGAUACAAAAGACUGCAAGGUAGAUUGUGGUGUCUAGCAAUCAGAUGAGAUGAUAGGUAGACUGCGGUUGAAUUUUGUUUUCUGCACUUGCAUGUGGUCUGAUAAGAUGCUUUCCGUCCUGUUGGUGAUAUAUAUUUUGCAUGGUGUAGGUUGUUGUGGAUCUUUUUCUUAUAAUGACCACUUGCAUCAUUCUAGAUCCAUUUACAGGAUUGGUACUCUUGUUGUUUCACUGGAGCACCACUGCUCCAAUCAUCUUUAGUAUGAACAUGGGUGCAUAGUACAGUAUUAUUUAAUUUGCGUCUGUCCUACUAUUAUGGUUUUGUACCAAGCAUUUAAGAAUCCGGAUCGGAUUUGUAUGCAUGCAGGCGGGCGCUCCCGGGUGGAGCCGCGGCGGAGCCGUUCUCCACGCCGUUCCAGCAGGUCGUCGAGGGACCGGUCAAGGUCGCCGGCCGCAAGGAGGGACAGGGACAGCAGGGACAGGAAGCGCGACUGAAUGAAACAAGGCAAGGGGAGAAACAAAAUGAUGCUAAAAUCACAUAUCGCCGCGAGUUGUCGAGUAUGAAUGUGUCUUGGAUUCUUUGUUGCUGAAUGAAUGUUUGUUUGAUGAAGGAGGACUCUAGUCAGUAUUUCUGCUGGAUGCUUUCUUUAGAUAAGCAGCUGAUUUGUCUUGUCUUUCUGUUUUAUCAGAGGAGAGGAUUUCCCUAACAUUCAUUUCUUUUUAGGUUUUGUGUUGUGUAUGGACGAUGAAGGCGCAUUUCGUGUUUUUAAGGUUUCUCGCUAUCGAAUCGGAUGCGUCUAUUUGGUUGUAUGAGCACCUUUGUCUUGUCUUGGCUGGAUGCUAACAUUAUUAUUAUUAUUAUUAUGUCUGUGAUGGUAUGCAAAAAAUUUGAAUUUGUGUCUGAUAUCAUCAUCUACAAUACGACAGUUGCUUAAGCCUUUUUGUUUGUUAGCAAAGAGUAUCCCUCCUUGUGUCUCAUAAUAUAAAAACGACGUUUUUGACGCUAGCCUAGUGUUAUGGGAGAAAUACUCCCUGGUUAAAUAGA
Molecule: long non-coding RNA, 26685 nt
Filed under: Triticum aestivum (bread wheat)
Lineage: Eukaryota; Viridiplantae; Streptophyta; Magnoliopsida; Poales; Poaceae
Description: long non-coding RNA (TAES_LNC017221)
Source: RNAcentral